Molecule: long non-coding RNA, 411 nt
Filed under: Ananas comosus (pineapple)
Lineage: Eukaryota; Viridiplantae; Streptophyta; Magnoliopsida; Poales; Bromeliaceae
Description: long non-coding RNA (ACOM_LNC034015)
Source: RNAcentral
GGUAAGACUGGGUUUGACAUUCUAUCCAUGAACUGUUGAUUACUUAUGAGUAUAAUUUCCUGAUUAACUCUUAUUGUUGGUUGAAAUCUCAUAAGUACUUUAUAUAUGUGCCAUUCAUCACAAAAUCAGGCCUGAAACUCAACUUUGCAUACUAUAUAUAUUAAGACUCAAAUGGACUUGGACAUGGCCUUGAUUUACAGGAAAUAGGCCCAGCUAGUGACCUCCGAGAGUCACCAUACUGCCACAAUCAUAGAUUUUAUCUGAAAGGCAUGUAGUAACUUUUAGGAUUAGACUGAAAACUUAGAAGAAGGAGAAAAGGGGAUAGGUAAUGCAGACUUACAAGGACAGUAGUGCAGAAGAGUUAUAUGAGUAUUUUUGUAGGAUUAUUGACUAAAAUUCUUUUACAGAUGG